Long non-coding RNA from Falco peregrinus (peregrine falcon), 10696 nucleotides. RefSeq lists it as uncharacterized. The transcript has 2 exons. The record is from RefSeq and is a predicted model, not a curated record. NCBI's taxonomy places the organism in Eukaryota, Metazoa, Chordata, Aves, Falconiformes, Falconidae.
CCUCAGUGUGACUCUCCGGAGGUGGCCUGGAGACACCUCAGCAGGUCCUACUUUGGCCCCAUUGGCACAGUGGAGGGGAGAGAGCCAUACCCUGCUUCUCUCCCCCGUGCUGCUCCACGUGGCUUCUCGGCACAUGGCUCCAGGGCCAUGAGCUGCAUACGCUUGGGGGGCCUAGGUGAAAAGUCAGCCCUGAAAGCUCUUCCCUGCCUCCUGGCCUCUGAGUCGGGGUUUGGGUAGUUUUAGAUCCUCCCAGGCUGUGGGGUAUAAUAAAAGACUUAACUGAUGAUGCAUGCAAGAUGGAGGCCCAAAGUGCAGGGUGAUGCACAGCUAUGUUGCUUUUCUCUGCCCUAGCGGAUCUCCUGGGAAGCCCCUCUGUCCCCCAGUCCCCGAGCUGCAGCGUCCUCCCAGAGGAUGGAGCCUUUUGCUUUCGGAGGAGGAGAGCCGUCACAGCAGGCUUCACAUCCCCCCAUGCUUCCCCGGGUGAAGAGUUUUUGCUUGAGAGCCACAUCUGUCCCCUGCCAUGAGCUGGCCAAGAUGCUGUUCCCUGGGGGCACGCACCAUUUCAAGGGUGAAGCCCCCUCCUAAUUCAGAAAAGGCGAGACGUGCCAGCCCGCCCUUCUCCAGAAGCCAGCAGAGGGGUGAAAGGUGGGGACAUUCAGAACGCGCCAUAAGACGCUUCUGUUUUCUAGUGCUUCUGGGAGGGUUCAGAGGUACAAGAGUCUGAGGGUCUCUGGGGAGGGUGGGAUAUUUUUAGCUGUCACUUGGCUGAUGUUUGCUGUCAUGUAGAGAGUUUGUUUUUCAUUUGUGUAUGGAUGAUAUUCUUUUAGGAACAGCAAAAUCUUCAAGAGUCUGGGAUAGGUGCUUUUCCUGCAUUCACAUAGGAAUAACAGUAAUAACAACAGUAGUAAAUUAAUAACUUUGUAGAAAUACUCAAGGUUUUACCGGAACACCCCAUCUUCUUCCAGCAGUGUAGCUGCUCCGUUCUAAAAACACGUCGUCUUGUGUCAGCCUUUCUGAAAAAGAAAGAAAAGGAUUAUGCAACUGGCAUUAUAGACCAGCGGUUUGCCUAUUGUGAACUCAUGUAGCACUUGAAAACAGUAGUUUUUUGGCCCAAAUUCAGCACAUCACUUAGGCAUAUGCUUAACUUUAAGCAUGAGAAUAGUCAUAUUGAAAUCAGGGGGACUGUUCACAUGUUUACAGUUAAGUCUCAAUCCAAAUGCUUUGCUAAAUUUAGGCCUACUGGGAACUGAGAAUGCUAAUACAGUUUUCAGAGCCUGACCCUGUAAAAUAUUAAAUACAGCUGAGCCCUCUAAUUCCCACUGAAGUUAAUGGAAUUGAGGGUACUUGGCAUUCCUCGGGUGCGUGCAGCCCUGCACAGAAUCAAACCCCGAACGCAGCCACCAAAAAUGGUGCUCACGCGCUUCCUGAAAUCAAAGCAUGAUGCUCCUUGGUUGCAGGUCAGAUACAACCUGCCAAAUGUAGAGCCCUUGAUCUUAAAGGGGAUGUUUCACUGCGACCUUUUGGAGUCCAAAGGACCCAAGGUUACAUGCGUGACAAAAAUAUAGCGUGCGACCGUGAGAAGUGGCGGGGGGGUGGUCGUGGAGGGUCUCAGCAACACGCGUUUUCGGCCGCACUUAUUAAUUACGUUCAGAAUGUAACGCCUCAGAGUGAUUUAGAAGCAUUGCCUCCUGACUUGCCUUGGUAUUUGUUACUUUGCCAAUUUCUUGUAGCCAUUGAAGCAGAGUUUUGGUAUGGGAUUUGGAAAAGGAGAGCAGACCUGGCUGAAAGGUCUGUAUUUUGAAGAUUUUAUUUUUAUGUUUGUAUUUUUAUUGGCUUGCACUUCAUAUUUUUAUUAUAGUUCUUAUUGGAAAGAGCGAUUUUGAUGAGGAAAAGAUCCAAAAGUUUUCAAACCACAAAUGCAACCGCAUACUUAAAGGUUUUAAAACAGUCUGUAGAACAGGCCGUCAAUUUUUGGCAAUCAAAACUCUUGAACAUUUUAAUUAUUGGUAAGAAUUGAGUAAAAAUGUAUUCAUGUUUUGUUACUUAUUUUUCUCCAACAAUUUCAGGCUGAAGUUGUUGACAACCCUUUUGCAACCAGUAACUUUUUUUUUCCUAGUUGUCACUAAAUGACAUACAGGUUUUUCAGCCAGGCUUAGAAGUUUAGAUGGCUUUGCAGGUUGGUUCAGGCUGGGGAAUCACAAGGAGGUUGGCUGGAACGAGGAAAGUUGCAGUGGGUGACAUCAGGGAUAAGAGUGAGAGUUUGGGGGUUUGAUGGGGAAGAGGGUUUCAUGGUAAAGAAAUAAAUCUGAAGAAUUCGAAGAGGCAUCAAGUUGCUCAGAUUAGAGCAGUAGCAAAAAUAACGAUUAUGGCAGCUUGUAUUGGAGGCUAUGGGACAUUUUUAUCAGGAUGAUUUGGCAGUCGAGAACACAGCUUCUCAGCGAUGAACGUUUUCUGUAGCAAAAAGGAAAAAGCUUUAUUUAAGGUCUGAUCCAAUCAAUUUUUUUUAAUUAAAAUUAUGUAAAAUAUGUAGUUUCAAAAAAGUUCAAAUUAAAGCUUCCUUAGGGGAAAAGAAUGGGACAUGGAGACUCGUGUCUUCCGUUGUGUAAUCUGCAAUUAGCUCACCAGGCUGCAUAGUACAGAAACGAGCAUCAUUAUUGUGCCUAGUGGGAGCUGUAGGACAGCCAUGAAGCUCUGCUCUCUCUUCCUUUCUGGGUGGGGUCCCUCACUAUACCAUAUAUUUCUCAAUGCACACUAUAUGGUCUUUCCACUGUAUCAUGCACUAUAGGUAGUGAAGUCCUUGUUACGGUGAAGUGUAGUUUCCUAUAGGUUUUGGCUCAGAGCAAGCAGAAUCUGCAAGGGAAGGGUAACACAGCCUGAUGCUCAUUUUACUCUACAUAAAGCAUGUCAAGUAAACGAAACAAAACUCAGCAUUUAGAAUUCAAUGAUUAGAAAUGCUGAAAAGUUUUGCCUAAAUAUGUAGAGGUUAAAAUGUUAGUAUUUCUGAGGAGGUGCUUUUAAAAUCUGAGCCUUAUAUCCUAUUUUGGAUGAAAAUGAAUGUGGGAAUUUUCAACUGGAAAUUCUGCGUUUCAGUCAAGUCUGAGCUAGACUGAUGGGAAAAGAAAUGGCAGAUCCUGAUAAUCAAGAUAUGAGGUGAUGAAAACUGGAUGAAAAUUCCAGUAGACUACACGGGAAGUCUGAAUGAUUUAAAAAUUGCAGAGGAAAAUGCAUCCCAACUUAGGUAAUAUUUUUGUAUUCUAGCCAAGAGAAAGAAAGGCAAUGGCCAAAAAUGCUCACCACUCUUGAAACUGCAUGGCAGAAUGAUGCUAAAGUCACUGGAGAGUGAGAGAUGUCCUGGAGAAAAACUGGUGCCUGUUUAAUUCAGGCAGAUACUGGUAUCUGGAGGAGGCUCAGAGCGACAGGCUGGGAUGUGCGAUGGUGUGAAGGGAAGCUGGACUGAAAAAGGCAUCUGACAAAAUCAGAUCUCAAGUCAUGGGAGCAGGAUGAAUGCCCCAGAGAGGUGGAAGAAAAGGAGAAAUCUGAAACCAUGACCUUUUCCUCUUUUCCCAUAGAUCCUUCUUCAAUACAGACAGGCCUGACCUUCCUCCAGGGAUUGCAGCAGAGCGCAGAGCAGCAUGGCACGUGGGUCCUGUGGCACUUCAGAGAGGUCUGCGCCUCUUACUGCUGUAAACAGCCAUAAAUACCUCAAAUUUGGUUCCAAGGUUUCUGCUGAAGGCAGCUGACCAGAUAGCCUAAUCUGACUGUACCGAACAGAUGCACUGCUUUCAGUGGAAAGAGCAAUUGACUGCUCCUAGAUUUAACACGUGGAUGCAGCAGCCUGGGGGUGCUCAACGGUGUUGCUUGAGUGGGAUCUAUUUCCCCAGGCUUUCCCAUUCCCUCUCUCAUGUGCCCUGGGAAUGCUCUGUCCCUCCCAGACCCCACAAAUGACCGAAAUGCCACAAGACAAGGAAGGAUGUUUGCACUCGCCUGUGCACUGUUGCCCUCUGCUUCUCCAAACUGCAGGGGCCACCUUACAAUAAUACUUAUAUAGGGCUAUAUAUUUUCCUAGCAUUGUACAAAUAUUAACUAAUUAAUACCCAGGACUCCUGUCGCCCAUUCUGCUAGACUCUACCAGCCCCAGGCAAGUCAUUUAACCUCUGUUUGUCUUAGCUCUGCCAUCUGGUACACAUUGUUUUUAAUUGUCCUCUGAGAAGCUAAGCAAGUUGAAUGAGAUCUUGGACAUGUAAAAAUAACUUGCACAGGAUGGUGUGGAAUGGCUUGGCUAAGCUCCUUGUGGAUCCCUUGUCAAUCCAGGUUAUAUUUUAGCAUCACCACCAGUACAGCUAAACUAGGCACUUGGCAAACCAGGUUCGUAUGUGACUUCCAAGGGGGAGAUGAAGUUCAGUUCUGAUCACUGAGGUAGAGGGGGUAGAAGAGACAGUAUUUAGCAGGAGAGCUGCUCAUGUGUCAAGUGGGAGGUUACUUAACCUGUGUUAAUCUACAAAGGAGUGGAUCCAAAGACCUGCACGAGACAUGUGAUGUGUUUCUCCAGCAGCCCUCACUCCCUGGAAUGGACAAUGAGAAAUGCACUAAGGCUCCAAGGAGGACCCCAGUGGGGAACCAGCCUCAGAGCAAGCCAAAGGCCUUGGACCUCAGCUUCUGCACAUAUUUUGGCCCUAACCUGGCUACAGCUUGGACCCUGAGCCUGCCCUGCAGGCUUAGAAGUGAAGAUGGUAGGAUGUAAGUGGUCAGUGAUGUGCUUAUCCCUAUGUGAGUACAGUCCCCGCAAGACAGCAGAGCUACGAAGGGGGCCAGUGGCCAGUAGGUACGCUGAGGCAGGAGCUGAAUAUGAGCUUGAGGCUCUGCAGCUGGUCAUAGAUGAGCAUGGGUCAUGAGAUCAGCCUUGCGCUUUGGUCCUCCUGACCCAGAGAUGUAUUUCUGUGGAGCAUAAACACUGUGAAAAAAUUGAAGAGCUUUGAUGCUGUGAUGGUCUAAAUCAGAUUUUCCAGGCACAGAUUUCUGGGAGGAGGGGUGUAACAAGGAAAGCUGGGCAACAGUAGUGAAGCUACCAGUGUAGACAUGCCAUCACUUUUCCCAGGAGCAUCCCUACCCUGUGGUAGAGCGGUAUGAUCCCAAAGACUCUUCUGAUAGGGCUGACAGACCUGCAAGUAUCCUACAUAAACCCCUCCCUCUCCCUUACUUUCUGUCUCCAUGUGAGACCCAGUGAAUGGAAGCCCCUGUGAUGGUAAAUUGCUACAGCAGCUCUGUACCACUGGGGAGUUUUCCUCCAGAAGGGAUCCUCACUUGCCUGACACUCAAGGGUGCCCUGAACUGCUGGUUGGCUUUGCUUAGGAUUCAUGGACUGGGAGAUCUUAUCUCCGUCAGAGUAACCCAUCAGAAGGACAUGCUGCUGCCUUGCUCAAGGCAGAAAUAUUAUACAAUGCUCCUAGCAGGUUUUUUUUGCUUCACUUUUCACUUAAAUGUAGCACACUUCUCAUCAUACUCUUAAGAGAAGAAGACAGCUCAGAGUCCUUUAUGUGGGCAGUGUGGCUUUUCCAAAACUUCAUGUUUUCCAAUGCCAUUAUUAAAAGGUAGGAAGGUAAAGCUUUGCACUAAAAAACAUUUCCGACUGCGUGAAAUCCCCUUCACUGAUUUACAUAGCUUUAAGAUGGUUUUACAACCUGUAUUUUUAAAUGGAGGGAUACAUGUGAAACUUUGACCCAGCAAAGCACUUAAGUACAUGUUCAACCCCAUAUGUAGUAGGUUGCAGGCUGGAUUGAGGGCAUUAAGGGGCAGGAUUAUAAACAAACAUUUGCAAAGCUGGUUUUACUUUUUUAAUGAAAAUGGAAAACUGGCCUUUUUAAUGUAGAGGCUCUAAAAUGGGUCAUUGCAAGUGCAUGUGUAGCAUUGCAGGCUGUUCCUGGGCAUAAUCAAUAAGCACGUGAGAAAAGUUCUGAAAUUGUAGCUUUCACAAUGUGGCGAAUUCUUGAAAGUAUGGGAAAUCUGCUUUUAAAUCCAGGCUGAGUUAGACUGUGUUUACAGCUGUUAAUAUAAACAAGGAAACCUAGCUACAGAGCUCACAGCAUGACUGCGACAUCAUGUUUUCGUUACACUGACUGAAAACUAUGCAUAAUAAUCAGCAGAUUAUUUGGUAUUUAAAUACAAGUAUGGAUUCAGUUAUAAACCUCUGAAGAUGGAUAUUAAAUUAAGGCUCCUUAACUCUUGUCAUCUUUUCGCAAAUACCUAAUAGUUAACUCUUGCUAAUUUUUGCAUACAACAAAUCUGGAGUUAAAAUGGUUGCAAUUAAGUAGUUAAACAGUGUAAUCAAGAGUCAAACUGAAAGUUAGCUCAGCUCAGCAAGUGUGCUAAGCAUGGAAAGGGGGGACUGAGCAGGAGGGCAUGGAUUAGACGUACACAUUAUUAAGACAGCUUUUCUUGACGUAUGCAACUUCCAGUAUGCAACUGCUCUGUGCUGGGUGAAAUGAAACAAUUCAGCCAUGGCAUCUCCAUUGGGCUGAGAAGCAUUUCUUUGAAAGAAUUAUAUUCUCUUUAGACAGUGAAAUAGGCUUUAGGCUUUCAAAAUGCCUGGCUUCUCGAAUGCUUGUAGGCAAAUAUUGUUUGGGGGAAAAAAAUGCUAGUGCUCCCCCAUUCCCUUCUGCCCAAACAAACAGUAAAAUAGUAUGGGAAGAAACAGGAAGGUAAAUAGGAUAUUUUGAAAUUAUUUCUGGCACUCUCAUGACCCGAUUUUGAUCUUGUGCAUCUUAAAGGAGCCUUUGUUCGAAUUUAACACUUUGGCAGGAAAAUGAGGCUGAGCAGUCGUGUUGGAAUAGCACAAAAAAGCUGGAAAAACUACCUUGGAACAGCCCUGGAGACCACGUGAGAUACAGUGGUAUGUUCUUAGCUGGUGGAUCCCUGUUCAGUUCUACUCUUUUUGCUUCCCAGUAGAAAACACGUGGUUUGCAAAUGCCACGUAUGAACCCGACAGACAAAGGCCACAAGGUACACACUGACCUUCUGCGUGGGGUCCUGAUCCCAUGGUGUUGUAUGCACAUGCCUCUCUUCACCUGGGGACCUUCUGAGGAAAAGUGCCGUGUUUCCAGUCACGUUUCACAGUCGAGCUGCACUUUAAGAGCAGUGAGCCAACCUCAGCGCAUCUGGAGAUACAGUGUGGUUAAACAACCCAACGUUCAAAUAAACAUGUUGCUUUUUGCUUCAUUCUCCCACUGGGCCAGCCCUGGGUUUUGCUGAGCUCAGACCUUUUCCUCACGGCUGCCGCUGAGCUUGUCCCUUCCUCAGUGACUGUCUGAAGAAGGAGGGGUGUCCCAGGAGCUGGUGGGACCUGGAAAACCCAGGUCGCUCCCUAUUUCAACUGAGAUUGUCCUCCAUGACCUUUGCCAAGACACUACCUCCACCCACUGCUUGUGUCUCACAUUGAUAAAAGCAGAAGACACAUUUAUCUAAUAACUGGUCUUGUGAUGAUGAAGUCAAGCAUUGACUGCAAGAGACUUGGACGCUGCAUGGUGAAGACCAUGUACAUGUAUGGAUGAAAGGUAGCUUUCCACAAAGGUUCUCCCGGUGGCUCCCUCACUUACUGCCCUUUGACUAAGCAAGCCCAGACAUCCAUAUUUUCUGAAUGAAAGAACCAAAAAACCAAAGAGUCUGGAGGGAGCAGAAAUGCGGGAAGCCCCUACAGGACCCCCUGCAGGAGCACAUGCUUUGCUCUAAAAGUAUGGAUUUAAAAAAAAUACAGGACUUUUGGAGAGGUCAGACUGCGUCCUUUCUGGCCUCAGAAACAUAUGCUCUAGCAAUCAAUGCACGUCCUUGACCCUCCCCUACCUUUUCUUACCCAAGGGUUUGCCAUCUUGUGUUCAUGAGCCAGUUUUUAACUGAAUUAAGAAAUUUCUCACGUGAAGGCAGCUCUGCUAAUCUAAACAAGGCUCGUAUGUAACCGGUUUCAGCAUGCCGUUCUAAAUUGCCUAUGGAAACGCUUUCGUCUAGAUCGAGCUACGUCUGCCAGGGGGCCUGAUAUAAAGCUGUGGGUACGGCAAGCGCUGCUGUGAUCCCCAGCCCUGGGGCGCCAGAGCUGGGAGCCGCAGGCGUGUGAUCGCCCCUCUGCAGCGUGCACAUCUGAAAGCGGUCAGCUCCCAAAUCCUCUUGUGAAUCCAGCCCAAAAAUUGGAAACUUUUUGUUUCUGAAAUAGGCAAACCCUCACGAUUUUUUCUGAUGAUUUCCUUGCCCCCAGCCCCCCUAAAUUUUUGGGCUGAAGCCUAGUCACUAAAUCUGACCCAAAUUCAAAAAUAGCUUUGGCUGCUAGUGGGGAGGGAAAGGUCUGACUCUAAUGUGAUGUUCCAAAAAUCUGGGCUUUUGUGUGAAUUAAAGUAGGGGGAGGUUGGUUUGGUUUUCUUAAUAGCCUAUCAAACCUCAUCCUGUCCUAAUAUUGGAGCAUUGCUCAGAGCCAUUUCUGCUCUGCUGGUGUUGUAUACCCAAGAGUUUUGACAAGAUGUUAACACAGCGCACUCAGUAUGUAUUUGGUUCAUAGCAGUUGUUGCUCAUUGACAUCCAAGCUGCUUUCUGAGUGAGCCUUCCAAGUAGACUCCUCAUGAUUAACGUUUUAAUAUUUCCAUUACAAACCACUUUUCUCACAACAGAUUACUUCAGUGCAAAGGGAAGACACUUUCUGUGUCCAAACUCGCAACUGAGGUAGAGGGGGGAGCAGUUUUUGGGUCUUUUUUUUUAGCUUUGGCUCUAGAUGGCAGUUUGAUUUGACUCUUUCCAUUAUGACAAGUCUCUCCCUCCUUCAAAUCGCAGAAUUUCCUUUUCUAAAAUUGUUUCAUUCUGCAAAUAUCCAUGUUUGGACUUUCUUAGGCAGGUUAUUUUAAUCAAAGUUUAAACCAAAGGUUAUUUUUUAAAUCUCGAGUGCAUGUUCUAGGAAGGAUAUUUUCUCUUCUGUUUGGAUAGAUAGAAACCCAGGGCUCAUUCCUGAUUCUCCGGUGCAGAAGGGAGGAGAGCAUCAGCCCCCAGCAGGAUAAAGGGUGAGAUACUGUGCCUUUGUUUUGGGUCAGCUGUGAACGGUCUGUGGUUUGUCCUGUUGACUUCUGUGGAGUCACUUCUGAAGGAUGGUCUUAAUAGGUAUGAGCUGAGGCAGCUGUAUCUGGUCUUAAGGAAAAGAGGGAAACUCACUAAGUGCAUUAAUUGGGUUAUAAAAGUUGUCUCUCAGGAAGGAGAGGACAAGUGUGAUGAAUUGAGUUAACAGGAAACGGAGCCAGCCACAAUAGCUGUCUGAGACCUGUUCAUGGUCUCCCUCUCAAAACAUAACCGACUGCAGCCAGGCGUGACUCCGCCAUUGUUUUUGAGGUGGCCCUGGUGAUUUUUUUACAAGGCUACUGAUAGGAUUCCUUGGCACGCAGCCUGGACUCUGCUGCUUCUUUUGUGGGAGGGGGACUGUUGGGUUUUCCCUGCUGUCUCCUGCUGCAGAAGUUGAACGCGGUUGCUACGCCACACUGAAAGCACCCUGGGAAGAGGAACUUUUGUUCCCCUCUGGAUGGCUGUCGAAAUAAGCCAGGGCCCUGAGCUACCGGUGAGCUUGCAUGUGCAUUCCACACAACCACGGCUUCGCACGCAUGGGGCACUUCAUCACCGCAAGCACACUGUCAGCAGCAGCUCCCAUGGAGGGAAGGAUGGGUUUUUUCUUCAUGGGAAAUGGGAAAAGCUGUGCAGGGAGGCUGGCGGCGUGACCAAAACUACGUGAAGAAUCUGUGUUAGAGUACAGCUUCGAAGGCAUGCCUCCUUGGUCAAGUGACACAGGAUUGACAUAAUCCCUGUGCUUCCUGCCCUUCUCCCUCCUAGUUCCUGGUUAAGAUGGAGCCUGUGGCAGCCUCAGCAUGGCUGACUGUGUGGAUCCUCCUCAAGCCGCAGACUGAAGUGGGACCUUCCAAAUUGGCGACGCAGAUGGUUUUCACAGGCUUUACUGGCUGGCUCUGGUCAGUCUUAGGGAUCUGUUGUUAAUCCAUCAUCUUGAGCAGGUGACUGACUUUUAAUCAGAGGGAGCAGUUUCUAUCUACUUACCCAUUCAUGUAGAGCAAUAAAGCCUGAAAUCUUUAAAAAGAAGGGAAGCCAAGUUUCUCCUGUAUCUCUGUAGAUUCUGCAAAUCCUUCUGUGGCUGUAAAGAGUUGAUCCUGUCUCCUCUGUUGAUAACAACAUGUGUGUGCUUAUGCCAUACACCUCCACCAAAGCUCCUCAGCAAUUCCUGUUUAUUUGACUUGCUUUAUAAAGCAACGUGUCAAUUUGAAAAUCAUUAGGUAUUCCUACCAGGAGUCAAAGACCACAUUCAGAGUGGAUUACACGCAUGUUUCUUAAAAGUGUUAAUGUGCUAAUCUGCUGGUUACUUGAUCCAGGCAAAAUGCCAUGAUAUUCCACAUGAGCAAAAUACCACGGUUCUUGGAGAUUUCAUAUAAAUAUUACCCACUGUGUUUCCACAUUUGAAGUGUUAUACUUGUCUAUUAAAAUCAACAAGCUGGAACUAGGAUCUGGAAAUAAGUGAUAUUACUAUUUUAUUUAUGAACUUCAGAUUCAGAUUCUUUUUAAUAAAAUACCUUACAAAUAAGGAACAGAACAUGAAUCUUACUGUUAUUUCAUGUAUUCCAUGUAAAUAUUUCAACUAUGCCUUGCAGCAAUAAAAGCACAUUAUAUAUACUCUGCA